Molecule: ribosomal RNA, 397 nt
Filed under: uncultured bacterium
Lineage: Bacteria
Description: partial 16S ribosomal RNA
Rfam family: Bacterial small subunit ribosomal RNA
Source: RNAcentral
AUACGUAGGGGGCGAGCGUUGUCCGGAAUGAUUGGGCGUAAAGGGCGCGUAGGCGGCCUGUUAAGUCUGGAGUGAAAGUCCUGUUUUCAAGAUGGGAAUUGCUUUGGAUACUGAUGGGCUUGAGUGCAGGAGAGGUUAUCGGAAUUCCCGGUGUAGCGGUGAGAUGCGUAGAGAUCGGGAGGAACACCAGUGGCGAAGGCGGGUAACUGGACUGCAACUGACGCUGAGGCGCGAAAGUGUGGGGAGCAAACAGGAUUAGAUACCCUGGUAGUCCACACUGUAAACGAUGAAUGCUAGGUGUAAGAGGUAUCGACCCCUUUUGUGCCGGAGUCAACACAAUAAGCAUUCCGCCUGGGGAGUACGGCCGCAAGGUUGAAACUCAAAUGAAUUGGCGGGG